Non-coding RNA from Ciona savignyi (Pacific transparent sea squirt), 45 nucleotides. Lineage: Eukaryota; Metazoa; Chordata; Ascidiacea; Phlebobranchia; Cionidae. The record is from Rfam.
UAAACGGCUCUUAUAAGAGCCACCCACUUUUUUAAAAGAGUAUGU